GAUGGUGGUUGCUAGGGGCUGGGAGGUGGAGGGAAAUGGGGAGUUUCUGCUUAAUGGGAAUAGAGUUUCAAUUUGCGCAACUCGGAAAGACUUGUUGCUUUGUUUUUUUGACUAGAUGUCAAAAAAAAUCCCAUACUCCUAUUGUAGAAAAUACCCAGUGUGGUACCAGGACACACAGCAAACUCACCAGUGACUGCAGCAUUAAAGCCAGACAGGAUUGAGUGUUUGGGGAGGAAGUGACUCCACUGGGUGGGAAUAUCUCAUGGGCAUGGACCAGGUCAGUAGACUCCUUUCGUGACUCCAGCCUUCCUGACACAGAGAUGCUUACUCAGUGUUUGAGGAAUAAAUGAUUGCCCCUGUCACCUCAUCUAGGACCCACUUCUUUUCCUCUGCCCCAGACACUCACGCAGACUCUAAAGAAUCCCCCAUCUGGCAGGACCCACCAUCUAUGCUCUAGAUGAGGCUGUGACCCACUGAGGUCAAGCAGAAGCUCAGCAGCUCCCUGAUGUAGACAACAGGACUCAGAAAUGCAACUCAGAUGGGAAGCCCUUACAGACUCGCUGUGUCCCAUUCCUCACAUGUCCUCAGAGGUCCUGGUCCAGGCUCUGGUGCAGGAGGGAAGCCCCAAGAUGGGGGCAGGACACGGGGUCUGCUCCUUGUCUGCUCCCCUCUAAGAGGAUGUCAGGGUCUCUGGGCCGUGGAGUGUCCAUCCAUGCAGUGCAGAGGUGGGGCAAGCUCAGGCCUGCGGUUCCUCUUCUGUGAAGAACCGAGGUUGUGUGCUCCUCCCCAGCUUCCCACGGGUUUGCCCGCAACCUCCUCUCCCAAUAACCUUCUCCUUCUCUUUUCAGACACAGGACAGAUGCCCAGAAUCCUCCAUCUCAGAGAUGCUGCAGCUGCUGCUGCACCUGCUGUGGGCAGGACAGGAGAAGGUGCUGGACACGGAAGCCUGAAAGGAAUGGACAGACACGGGGACACCAUGAUCACUGUCUCCCAGACCUCUCUCUCCCAUCCCCAACACAACCGUGCACUUUAGGGAAGCACUUUGCUGAGUUGACCCUGACACUACGCAGAGAAACAAAUGAGCAAACUUAUUCACCUCUCACUUCUACUCUUCCAAACUAUUCCCUAUGGCUAUGAGGGAGUAGAGACAGGGAGAGGAAAGACAUAUAUACAUAAUUUUUUUUACCAGAAUUAAAGCAAUACUUGAUCCAAAACUCUGCUACUUGUGUAUUUACCUGUAUGUAGAUUUCGGAAGCCUGUCAUUGGGCACAUACUCAUCACCUGCGGUGUAAUUUAUCAUUAGGAUGCAAGGCCAGUCUACAGCACUUACGUGAGAUGCACAGUCUUGC
Molecule: long non-coding RNA, 1349 nt
Filed under: Equus asinus (donkey)
Lineage: Eukaryota; Metazoa; Chordata; Mammalia; Perissodactyla; Equidae
Description: lncRNA (ENSEASG00005038784.1)
Source: RNAcentral